This 470-nucleotide unclassified non-coding RNA is filed under the name Salvelinus namaycush (lake trout). RNAcentral's name for it is "partial 5' external transcribed spacer". The record is from RNAcentral. Lineage: Eukaryota; Metazoa; Chordata; Actinopteri; Salmoniformes; Salmonidae.
UAUACUGACCCUGAGUGGUCUGGUUAUGGUUGUGGUUACCCCGCGGUUCAGUUGAUGGCCUCCCGAAUAAGCCAUCAGGCUAGAUUCGCGAUCUUAUAGGCGGUGCUGUGGCAUUGGACCUUAAGAGCGGUGCCCUGGGCCCUGUGGCACCUCCGGCCAUGGGUAGUUCAGGGCGUCCCGCUGGCCGCACGGUGGAUUACAGUACAGGGCCCCCUCUCGCUCGCUGAGGAUCGGCAUUCUGGACAACAAUACGCUUGGCGCUCAGGUCCAACAUCUAAGUUGAUGGCAUUCCGAAUAAGCCCUCCGGCCAGACGAGCGGCGACCUCCGCGGAUGCGUGCAUUUUCCAGAACCUAAACCCAUUCGACCGUCAGGCCGUCUAGGGGGACCAGCUCUAGAUUAGCCCCGAAUUAGAUGCACCUGGGAGGGCACCUGGCGGCCGGCAUACGUGCUGGUGUUCAGCCGGAAUGUU